CCUACGGGGGGCUGCAGUGGGGAAUAUUGGACAAUGGGGGCAACCCUGAUCCAGCCAUGCCGCGUGUGUGAAGAAGGCCCUCGGGUUGUAAAGCACUUUCAGUGAGGAAGAACGCCUGGUGGUUAAUACCCAUCAGGAAAGACAUCACUCGCAGAAGAAGCACCGGCUAACUCCGUGCCAGCAGCCGCGGUAAUACGGAGGGUGCGAGCGUUAAUCGGAAUUACUGGGCGUAAAGCGCGCGUAGGUGGCUUGAUAAGCCGGUUGUGAAAGCCCCGGGCUCAACCUGGGAACGGCAUCCGGAACUGUCAAGCUAGAGUGCAGGAGAGGAAGGUAGAAUUCCCGGUGUAGCGGUGAAAUGCGUAGAGAUCGGGAGGAAUACCAGUGGCGAAGGCGGCCUUCUGGACUGACACUGACACUGAGGUGCGAAAGCGUGGGUAGCAAACAGGAUUAGAUACCCCGGUAGUC
RNAcentral lists this ribosomal RNA (465 nucleotides) under Vreelandella stevensii. Its description in RNAcentral is "partial 16S ribosomal RNA". It matches the Rfam family "Bacterial small subunit ribosomal RNA", at positions 338 to 795 of the family's 1533-position model. The record is from RNAcentral. Lineage: Bacteria; Pseudomonadati; Pseudomonadota; Gammaproteobacteria; Oceanospirillales; Halomonadaceae.